CCUACGGGAGGCUGCAGUGGGGAAUAUUGCACAAUGGGCGCAAGCCUGAUGCAGCCAUGCCGCGUGUGUGAAGAAGGCCUUCGGGUUGUAAAGCGCUUUCAGCGGGGAGGAAGGCGGUGAGGUUAAUAACCUCAUCGAUUGACGUUACCCGCAGAAGAAGCACCGGCUAACUCCGUGCCAGCAGCCGCGGUAAUACGGAGGGUGCAAGCGUUAAUCGGAAUUACUGGGCGUAAAGCGCACGCAGGCGGUCUGUCAAGUCGGAUGUGAAAUCCCCGGGCUCAACCUGGGAACUGCAUUCGAAACUGGCAGGCUAGAGUCUUGUAGAGGGGGGUAGAAUUCCAGGUGUAGCGGUGAAAUGCGUAGAGAUCUGGAGGAAUACCAGUGGCGAAGGCGACUCUCUGGUCUGUAACUGACGCUGAGGAGCGAAAGCGUGGGGAGCGAACAGGAUUAGAUACCCCAGUAGUC
RNAcentral lists this ribosomal RNA (465 nucleotides) under uncultured Klebsiella sp. Its description in RNAcentral is "bacterial SSU rRNA". It matches the Rfam family "Bacterial small subunit ribosomal RNA", at positions 338 to 795 of the family's 1533-position model. The record is from RNAcentral. Lineage: Bacteria; Pseudomonadati; Pseudomonadota; Gammaproteobacteria; Enterobacterales; Enterobacteriaceae.